GACGAACGCUGGCGGCGUGCUUAACACAUGCAAGUCGAACGGAAAGGCCCUGCUUGCAGGGUGCUCGAGUGGCGAACGGGUGAGUAACACGUGGGUGAUCUGCCCCUUACUUUGGGAUAAGCCUGGGAAACUGGGUCUAAUACUGGAUAGGACCAUGCUUUAGGUGGUGUGGUGGAAAGAUUAGUUUCGGUAAGGGAUGAGCUCGCGGCCUAUCAGCUUGUUGGUGGGGUAUUGGCCUACCAAGGCGUCGACGGGUAGCCGGCCUGAGAGGGUGGACGGCCACAUUGGGACUGAGGUGCGGCGCAGAAUCAUACGGGAGGCAGCAGUGGGGAAUAGUGUACAAUGGGCGCAAGCCUGAUGCGGCGACGCCGCGUGGGGGAUGACGGCCUUCGGGUUGUAAACUCCUUUCAGCCAUGACGAAGCCCUUGUGGUGACGGUAGUGGUAGAAGAAGCACCGGCUAACUACGUG
This 469-nucleotide ribosomal RNA is filed under the name uncultured bacterium. RNAcentral describes it as "partial 16S ribosomal RNA". It matches the Rfam family "Bacterial small subunit ribosomal RNA", at positions 28 to 507 of the family's 1533-position model. The record is from RNAcentral.